CUCAGGACGAACGCUGGCGGCGUGCCUAACACAUGCAAGUCGAACGGAGUAUUCGAAAGCUUGCUUUGGAUAACUUAGUGGCGGACGGGUGAGUAACGCGUGAGUAACCUGCCUUUCAGAGGGGGAUAACGUUCUGAAAAGAACGCUAAUACCGCAUAACGUAUAAUUGUCGCACGGCAAAGAUACCAAAGGAGCAAUCCGCUGAAAGAUGGACUCGCGUCCGAUUAACUGGUUGGCGGGGUAACGGCCCACCCAAGGUGACGAUCGGUAGCCGGACUGAGAGGUUGAACGGCCACAUUGGGACUGAGACACGGCCCAGACUCCUACGGGAGGCAGCAGUGGGGGAUAUUGCACAAUGGGGGAAACCCUGAAUGCAGCAACGCCGCGUGUGGGAAGAAGGUUUUCGGAUUGUAAACCACUGUUCUUAGCGAAGAAAGCAAUGACGGUAACUAAGAAGAAAGCUCCGGCUAACUACGUGCCAGCCGCCGC
RNAcentral lists this ribosomal RNA (489 nucleotides) under uncultured bacterium. RNAcentral's name for it is "bacterial SSU rRNA". It matches the Rfam family "Bacterial small subunit ribosomal RNA", at positions 23 to 518 of the family's 1533-position model. The record is from RNAcentral.